This 403-nucleotide ribosomal RNA is filed under the name Fusobacteriota bacterium. RNAcentral's name for it is "Fusobacteria bacterium partial 16S ribosomal RNA". It matches the Rfam family "Bacterial small subunit ribosomal RNA", at positions 355 to 776 of the family's 1533-position model. Lineage: Bacteria; Fusobacteriati; Fusobacteriota. The record is from RNAcentral.
UGGGGAAUAUUGCACAAUGGGGGAAACCCUGAUGCAGCGACGCCGCGUGAGCGAAGAAGGUUUUCGAAUCGUAAAGCUCUGUCCUAUGGGAAGAUAAUGACGGUACCAUAGGAGGAAGCCCCGGCUAACUACGUGCCAGCAGCCGCGGUAAUACGUAGGGGGCAAGCGUUGUCCGGAAUCACUGGGCGUAAAGGGUUCGCAGGCGGAAAUGCAAGUCAGUUGUGAAAGGCAGAGGCUCAACCUCUGUAAGCAAUUGAAACUGUAUUUCUUGAGAUGUGGAGAGGCAAGUGGAAUUCCUAGUGUAGCGGUGAAAUGCGUAGAUAUUAGGAAGGAUACCGGUGGCGAAGGCGACUUGCUGGACACAAACUGACGCUGAGGAACGAAAGCGUGGGUAGCAAACAGG